RNAcentral lists this ribosomal RNA (450 nucleotides) under uncultured bacterium. Its description in RNAcentral is "partial 16S ribosomal RNA". It matches the Rfam family "Bacterial small subunit ribosomal RNA", at positions 354 to 796 of the family's 1533-position model. The record is from RNAcentral.
GUGGGGAAUUUUGGACAAUGGGCGAAAGCCUGAUCCAGCCAUGCCGCGUGCAGGAUGAAGGCCUUCGGGUUGUAAACUGCUUUUGUACGGAACGAAAAGACUCCUUCUAAUAAAGGGGGUCCAUGACGGUACCGUAAGAAUAAGCACCGGCUAACUACGUGCCAGCAGCCGCGGUAAUACGUAGGGUGCAAGCGUUAAUCGGAAUUACUGGGCGUAAAGCGUGCGCAGGCGGUUAUAUAAGACAGAUGUGAAAUCCCCGGGCUCAACCUGGGAACUGCAUUUGUGACUGUAUAGCUAGAGUACGGUAGAGGGGGAUGUAAUUCCGCGUGUAGCAGUGAAAUGCGUAGAUAUGCGGAGGAACACCGAUGGCGAAGGCAAUCCCCUGGACCUGUACUGACGCUCAUGCACGAAAGCGUGGGGAGCAAACAGGAUUAGAAACCCUUGUAGUCC